AUUUCAAAAAAUAAUGGUUUAGAUGUUUUGUUGUUUUGUUUUCUUUUAGAUAUUCGAUAUGCAUUUGUUUUUCAUUCUGUUUUACAAUUGGCUUGAAGAAGAUGGAUGCAAUGUAAUGUAAUAUAUAUAUCGAGAUAUAUAUAUAUAUAUAUAUGCAUAGUAAGUACAAUAUAUAAUUUGCAAAAAAAUUAUAAUGUUUCUCUCAUCUUUCUUGAAUUUUAAGCUUUACGAGUGUAGCAUAA
Long non-coding RNA from Drosophila navojoa, 242 nucleotides. NCBI's taxonomy places the organism in Eukaryota, Metazoa, Arthropoda, Insecta, Diptera, Drosophilidae. The record is from RefSeq and is a predicted model, not a curated record.